UAGGGAAUCUUCGGCAAUGGACGGAAGUCUGACCGAGCAACGCCGCGUGAGUGAAGAAGGUUUUCGGAUCGUAAAGCUCUGUUGUUAGAGAAGAACGUUGGUAGGAGUGGAAAAUCUACCAAGUGACGGUAACUAACCAGAAAGGGACGGCUAACUACGUGCCAGCAGCCGCGGUAAUACGUAGGUCCCGAGCGUUGUCCGGAUUUAUUGGGCGUAAAGCGAGCGCAGGCGGUUCUUUAAGUCUGAAGUUAAAGGCAGUGGCUUAACCAUUGUACGCUUUGGAAACUGGAGGACUUGAGUGCAGAAGGGGGGAGUGGAAUUCCAUGUGUAGCGGUGAAAUGCGUGGAUAUAUGGAGGAACACCGGUGGCGAAAGCGGCUCUCUGGUCUGUACCUGACGCUGAGGCUCGAAAGCGUGGGGAGCAAACAGG
RNAcentral lists this ribosomal RNA (429 nucleotides) under Bacillota bacterium. RNAcentral describes it as "Firmicutes bacterium partial 16S ribosomal RNA". It matches the Rfam family "Bacterial small subunit ribosomal RNA", at positions 355 to 776 of the family's 1533-position model. Lineage: Bacteria; Bacillati; Bacillota. The record is from RNAcentral.